AGGCCCAUAGCUCAGUUGGUAGAGCGUUUGCCUUACAAGCAAAAUGUCAUCGGUUCGAGUCCGGUUGGGCCUA
This 73-nucleotide transfer RNA is filed under the name Chloroparvula sp. RCC4572. Its description in RNAcentral is "tRNA-Val". It matches the Rfam family "tRNA". From Rfam's summary of the family: Transfer RNA (tRNA) molecules are approximately 80 nucleotides in length. Their secondary structure includes four short double-helical elements and three loops (D, anti-codon, and T loops). Further hydrogen bonds mediate the characteristic L-shaped molecular structure. tRNAs have two regions of fundamental functional importance: the anti-codon, which is responsible for specific mRNA codon recognition, and the 3' end, to which the tRNAs corresponding amino acid is attached (by aminoacyl-tRNA synthetases). tRNAs cope with the degeneracy of the genetic code in two manners: having more than one tRNA (with a specific anti-codon) for a particular amino acid; and 'wobble' base-pairing, i.e. permitting non-standard base-pairing at the 3rd anti-codon position. Lineage: Eukaryota; Viridiplantae; Chlorophyta; Chloropicophyceae; Chloropicales; Chloropicaceae. The record is from RNAcentral. RNAcentral also lists the same sequence under 1 other name.